CGGGCCGUGGUCCCGGUGAGGAUCCGCGCCCCGCAGGCGCGGGCGACCGCCUUCGGGAGGCGGCCGGUGCCGCCGGCCACGCCCCGG
Molecule: transfer RNA, 87 nt
Filed under: Streptomyces lavendulae subsp. lavendulae
Lineage: Bacteria; Bacillati; Actinomycetota; Actinomycetes; Kitasatosporales; Streptomycetaceae
Also listed under: 2 other names
Description: tRNA-Ala
Source: RNAcentral